UCUUUCUUUUGCUGGCGACCGGCGCACGGGUGAGUAACACGUAUCCAACCUGCCCUUUACUCGGGGAUAGCCUUUCGAAAGAAAGAUUAAUACCCGAUAGCAUAAUGAUUCCGCAUGGUUUCAUUAUUAAAGGAUUCCGGUAAAGGAUAGGGAUGCGUUCCAUUAGGUUGUUGGUGAGGUAACGGCCCACCAAGCCUUCGAUGGAUAGGGGUUCUGAGAGGAAGGUCCCCCACAUUGGAACUGAGACACGGUCCAA
RNAcentral lists this ribosomal RNA (256 nucleotides) under uncultured bacterium. RNAcentral describes it as "partial 16S ribosomal RNA". It matches the Rfam family "Bacterial small subunit ribosomal RNA", at positions 79 to 334 of the family's 1533-position model. The record is from RNAcentral.